GUGCCAGCAGCCGCGGUAAUACGAAGGGGGCUAGCGUUGCUCGGAAUUACUGGGCGUAAAGGGCGCGUAGGCGGACAGUUUAGUCAGAGGUGAAAGCCCAGGGCUCAACCUUGGAAUUGCCUUUGAUACUGACUGUCUUGAGUACGGGAGAGGUGUGUGGAACUCCGAGUGUAGAGGUGAAAUUCGUAGAUAUUCGGAAGAACACCAGUGGCGAAGGCGACACACUGGCCCGUUACUGACGCUGAGGCGCGAAAGCGUGGGGAGCAAACAGGAUUAGAAACCCGCGUAGUCC
This 292-nucleotide ribosomal RNA is filed under the name uncultured bacterium. RNAcentral's name for it is "partial 16S ribosomal RNA". It matches the Rfam family "Bacterial small subunit ribosomal RNA", at positions 505 to 796 of the family's 1533-position model. The record is from RNAcentral.